AAAUUUUAGCAUGAAAAAGAAUCACAUAGGGAGCUUGUUAAAAAUACAGAGUCUAGGCUCAACCACCAUCAAUUCUAAAUCCAAAAUCCUGGUGUGGUUCCUGAGAAUCUGUUCUCUAACAAGCUCACCAGGUGAUUCUGAUGGAAGGUGAUAGGCAAAACUCACUUGAGAAACACUGCUGCAGGCCAUGAGGAAUGAUUAGGGAUGCAUCAGAGGAGUGAUGUAAUCGGCUGUAUGGUAUAAGAAGAUAAGCACUUCCUGUAGGAUAAAUCAGAGGACACCAAGACUGGAAGGAGAAAUGGGCACAUGAUGCCAUCCCAGCCGAUGAAAUGUGAGGACAUUAUGUUUGAGGAUGUAAGCUUGAAGCUGCUUUGGAAUAUCAGAAACUAGCCUAAGGACAAACACCAACAUUCUGAAGACGGCAGAGCAAAAGAUGGAAAGAAGAUUAGCCCUGAGCUAACGUCCGUCACCAAUCCUCUUCUUUUUGCUGAGGAAGACUGGGCCUGAGCUAACAUCCAUGCCCAUCUUCCUCUACUCCAUAUGUGGGUUGCCUACCACAGCAUGGUUUUUGCCAAGCAGUGCCGUGUCCGCACCUGGGAUCCAAACCGGUGAACCCCGGGCCACCAAGAAGCGGAACGUGGGAACCUAACUGCUACGCCACCAGGCCGGCCCCCUACAAUAAUCUUGAUACAGAAGUACUGGGCCUGCAAUCAGACAGAUGGGGCCUACCAGCCUACUUGUUUUUUCUGCCACAUGUGCCACAACUGGUAGGCCGAUCAGAAUCAAAGGCAGAGCCCUGAAAUUCAGAUUUUGUUUCCUGAACCAUAUUUACCUCUCAGGCUUCUGCCAGGUCUUUACAUUUUAUAAGGCAAAAAUUGAAAGUUUCUGGCACACUCAGACAUGGGACCAGAAGACAAUAAAGCUAUUCAUCACUUUUGGCAUGAAUCUGUCUGUUCUUAGAAGAAUCUUAAAUUGUCAUUGACUUUAAGACAUUUUCAGCUUAAAAACCCUACAUCUAUGUAAGUCCAUGUGUUCUUUGUGUACUUUUGUGUUCUAUUCCAAACUCAGCCACAAAAGUAAACUUUUGGUAAAAAUGGUUCAGGUUCAGCAAAAUACCAAAUAGGAUUUGCCAAAAGUUAUUCUCCCUUAUAUUUUAAACCGCUGUGCAUUGUGGGGAAAACACAAUCCACUUGUCUCUAAUUCAUUUAUACUUAAUAAAGUAGAAAGUAAUAAAGUGAAAUAUUUUAUUAGUUGUCCACUGUCCGAACGGCCUUUUGAGAUUCUUGUAUAGUUUUCUUUUCUCUUGUCUUCCCUGUCUACGCUGACCUCAACUAAAAGACAUUUUCUAACUAGUGAUGCUUAAAUAGUAAAAGACUCCUUUCACUUUGAAACCUAGUAAAAUAUGCACCCUUGUUUCUCAUUUUUUAUCAAAGUAUUUAUGACCUGAUCAUUUGAAUGUAAUUUUCAAACACUUAACAAAGAUCUUACUGAAUUGUAUGGUUUUCUUUUGACGUUAAAACAGGGAGAAAAAGAACUCUAAGUAUGUUAAAACACUUCCAAGUUUUCCAGUUUGUUUCAGAAGAAAGGUUAAAUAAUUGCUAUCUUGUUCUUUUCACUAUUUGAUCCUACUUUAGAUAAUUUAAUAUAAAUGAACAUUUUAAGUUAAAACAUUUUUUGGAAGCAGCAUCCAAACCAUGAUGUGUCUUUUCCCGUAUCAAAUAUUCAUAUAUGUGAUUUGAUAUGGAAGAGUUGGCUUUUCCUGACCACUCCUCCCACCACAAUCAAACACACCCAAUCCCUAUUAUCCAUAUCUGAUUUCCUUUUGAAAAUAAUGUAAUACAUCUGCUGUAAUCCUGGGGAGAUGUGGGGGAGACGUAAAUUCUGAUAAAAGUCAGACAUGUUGAUGACAGUCUGCAGCCCGAUACACUUGAAAAUACUGUGCAAGAUGCAAAGGAAAUUUCGUGAAAUGAUAACCCAUGGAAGAGCACUAUAUGUGAAGAGCAUCCAGGGAGCUACAGAGUCAGAGUGCUACAGCAUGAGGAUAGAGACUGUUUUCCAGAGAAGUAAAUUCCCUAACUUCAAUCCCUAUGUCAAACGGACUGAUCCAUGUCAGAAACAUUUUCUCUCUAAACUGAAUCUCUCAUACUGUUAUUAAAUUCUUUUAUUUCAUCAAGUCCUCUGUAAACAUUCAAUCGGCUGGAUUCCAAACUCUCCUGUAGUAAUGUAUUUUGUUCUUGAAAACUGUUAAUAAACCUUAGGACCUUAGAAAGGGUGUAUAGAAAUGAGACAUUGAGAACCACUUCAUAAUGGAAUCUACUAGAGAGCAAAGCACAGCUUAUUGGGUAAUUACAUGGAUGCUGGAGGCAGGUGGCAUGGGUUUAAAACUUUACUCUGGUAUUUUCUACACAUUCUCUUUGGGUAAGUUACCUAAGCUCUCUGUGCCUCAGUUUACUCAAAUAAAAAGACUAUAAAUAGUCCUUACUUGAUAUAGUUGUUGUAGAAUUUAAUAAAUUAAUUCCUAUAAAGCAAAUAUAUCUCCUUCACAACCAGCUCAUCUCUCAUCUAUUGCACUCUCUAUUACCUUUCCAGAGCCCAACGCCUACUUCUUUGUCAACAUUUGCCCAACAAAAUCUUCAAAACCAAGCUACAUAUCUACCUGCUCCUGGAAGAGCUCUGAGAUUAAUCCAAUUUAGCUCCAGUGUCUCCCACUCAGUCUUACCUCAGGACUCCAGUAGUGAAUAAACUAUUGUUAUAGGAAUUUAUUGUUCUGAAAUCAUUUCAUCCCACUUUAUAUGUCUGAUUUUUCUCUCUCCAAUGAGAAAGCCAGCUCUUGAGAGUAGAAAUAUUUUAUAUCUCUUUCAUUACUUGCUCCACUCUACCUCUUUAUCUAUACCACAUAUACAUACCGCAAUAUUCAAAAUAAUUUCUUUAGUUCAUUCAUUUCUUAAGAAAAUGUCACUAAAAGAGUUUAUUUCUUAACUUAAACAAAUUU
Molecule: long non-coding RNA, 2992 nt
Filed under: Equus caballus (horse)
Lineage: Eukaryota; Metazoa; Chordata; Mammalia; Perissodactyla; Equidae
Description: lncRNA (ENSECAG00000057268.1)
Source: RNAcentral